Long non-coding RNA from Poecilia reticulata (guppy), 425 nucleotides. RefSeq lists it as uncharacterized. NCBI's taxonomy places the organism in Eukaryota, Metazoa, Chordata, Actinopteri, Cyprinodontiformes, Poeciliidae. The record is from RefSeq and is a predicted model, not a curated record.
AUAAGUUACACACUGCAGCUUUAAUGUUGUUUAUUAUUUAUUUACCGUACAUCACAACAUUGUAACAACAUUCACCAACAUUACUGUAUAAUGUAUAUCUUUAUAAAAUCACUCAGCCCUCAUUUUAUGUGCUUAAUUGGCCGCUCUAAUUACUUUUGGUGAUUAAUUUGGGCUCACCCUCUAACAUUUGGAGACAGACUCCAGACCCUGCAAAGAUUAGGAAGCUAAAGAAAAUGGACAGAUGGACGCUUCAGCACAAAGAGGUGCCCCUGUUUAAGCCGCUUUGUUCUGUCACAGGUCAGCUGAACUCGUCCUACGACGAUGGCACUGCUUGUGCCAACCCGACAGCUUCCAUCGUGCCGCUUCAGAGAGGGACUCAAUUUCAGCCACUUGAGGAUUCGUGGCAGCAACAAAACAGGCGCAGA